Molecule: ribosomal RNA, 564 nt
Filed under: Streptomyces sp. 306B11
Lineage: Bacteria; Bacillati; Actinomycetota; Actinomycetes; Kitasatosporales; Streptomycetaceae
Description: bacterial SSU rRNA
Rfam family: Bacterial small subunit ribosomal RNA
Source: RNAcentral
UAGUGGCGAACGGGUGAGUAACACGUGGGCAAUCUGCCCUUCACUCUGGGACAAGCCCUGGAAACGGGGUCUAAUACCGGAUAACACCUGCCCGGGCAUCCGGGUGGGUUAAAAGCUCCGGCGGUGAAGGAUGAGCCCGCGGCCUAUCAGCUUGUUGGUGAGGUAGUGGCUCACCAAGGCGACGACGGGUAGCCGGCCUGAGAGGGCGACCGGCCACACUGGGACUGAGACACGGCCCAGACUCCUACGGGAGGCAGCAGUGGGGAAUAUUGCACAAUGGGCGAAAGCCUGAUGCAGCGACGCCGCGUGAGGGAUGACGGCCUUCGGGUUGUAAACCUCUUUCAGCAGGGAAGAAGCGAAAGUGACGGUACCUGCAGAAGAAGCGCCGGCUAACUACGUGCCAGCAGCCGCGGUAAUACGUAGGGCGCAAGCGUUGUCCGGAAUUAUUGGGCGUAAAGAGCUCGUAGGCGGCUUGUCACGUCGGGUGUGAAAGCCCGGGGCUUAACCCCGGGUCUGCAUUCGAUACGGGCUAGCUAGAGUGUGGUAGGGNAGAUCGGAAUUCCU